GUAAGUAUAGUUUAAUAAAAACAUUAGAUUGUGAAUCUAAUAAUAGAAAAUAAACCUUCUUGCUUACC
This 68-nucleotide transfer RNA is filed under the name Tonatia bidens (Spix's round-eared bat). RNAcentral's name for it is "tRNA-His". It matches the Rfam family "tRNA". Rfam says of the family: Transfer RNA (tRNA) molecules are approximately 80 nucleotides in length. Their secondary structure includes four short double-helical elements and three loops (D, anti-codon, and T loops). Lineage: Eukaryota; Metazoa; Chordata; Mammalia; Chiroptera; Phyllostomidae. The record is from RNAcentral.